AUGGCUAUAGAAUUUGAGGCAUUCGCCCUCAAUGGCCACCACUGCCCUAUCUGGGCCAUGGACAUCAUGAUCGCUCUUGUGUCUCGUGGAAUAGUGUGUGCAAUUCCGGAUUCAUCUCUGGUCAGGAUCACACCGCUAACAGAAAAAUGGUGUCUUAUAAAUCAUAAGGCAUUAGAUUCAGAUCUUGGCAUCUGGUUAUUCUGUAUCAGCAAUUCCUGGGAUACAAUGAACCUCAAGGGCAAAGGUUUGAGUCUUACUUCAACCUUCAAUCCGACAUCACCAGCUGUGACGGGACCCUAUGAGCACGAAGAAUGUGAUGGUUGA
RNAcentral lists this ribosomal RNA (324 nucleotides) under Triticum aestivum (bread wheat). Its description in RNAcentral is "partial small subunit ribosomal RNA". The record is from RNAcentral. Lineage: Eukaryota; Viridiplantae; Streptophyta; Magnoliopsida; Poales; Poaceae.